Molecule: ribosomal RNA, 622 nt
Filed under: uncultured marine haptophyte
Lineage: Eukaryota; Haptophyta
Description: bacterial SSU rRNA
Rfam family: Bacterial small subunit ribosomal RNA
Source: RNAcentral
GAAUCAUUGGGCGUAAAGCGCCUGUAGGUUGUUUAAUAAGUCCGUUGUUAAAGACUAGGGCUUAACCCUAGGAAAGCGAUGGAAACUGAUAGACUUGAGUAUGGCAGGGGUAGAGGGAAUUUCUAGUGUAGCGGUGAAAUGCGUAGAUAUUAGAAAGAACACCGGUGGCGAAAGCGCUCUACUGGACCAUUACUGACACUGAGAGGCGAAAGCUAGGGGAGCGAAAGGGAUUAGAUACCCCUGUAGUCCUAGCCGUAAACGAUGGAUACUAGAUGUUGUGCAAUUUGGACAGUAUCGUAGCUAACGCGUUAAGUAUCCCGCCUGGGGAGUACGCUCGCAAGGGUGAAACUCAAAGGAAUUGACGGGGGCCCGCACAAGCGGUGGAGCAUGUGGUUUAAUUCGAUGCAACGCGAAGAACCUUACCAGGGCUUGACAUACUACAGAUCUUUUUGAGAAAGAAGAGUGCCUUCGGGAAUGUAGAUACAGGUGGUGCAUGGCUGUCGUCAGCUCGUGUCGUGAGAUGUUGGGUUAAGUCCCGCAACGAGCGCAACCUUCGUUUUUAGUUGCCAAUUUAUUGGGAUCUCUAGAAAGACUGCCGGUGACAAACCGGAGGAAGGUGAGG